CCAUGCAUGUCUAGUAUAAGCUUUAUACUGGGGAAACUGCCAAAGGGUCCAUAAAACCAUUUUAGUUUAUUUGAAGGUGUUUCUACUCGGAUAACCACCGUAAAAAUUCAGCAAAUAAUACAUGUAAAUCCCGACCACUAAGGGACGUAUUUAUUAAAUAAAAAGCCGACCGGGCUUUGCCCGACCUUCGGUGAAUCAUAAUAACUUCACGAAUCGCAUGGUCCUGAACCGGCGAUGUUUCAUUCAAAUUUCUGCCCUAUCAACUUUUACGGUAGGGUAGUGGCCUACCGUGGUGGUAACGGGUAACGGAGGAUUAAGGUUCCUUCCCGAAGGGAACUGAAACGGCUACCCAUCCAGAAGGGCCGGCGCCAUUAACCAUCCAUUCGG
This 387-nucleotide ribosomal RNA is filed under the name Trentepohlia sp. NLK-1. RNAcentral describes it as "bacterial SSU rRNA". It matches the Rfam family "Eukaryotic small subunit ribosomal RNA", at positions 49 to 435 of the family's 1831-position model. The record is from RNAcentral. Lineage: Eukaryota; Viridiplantae; Chlorophyta; Ulvophyceae; Trentepohliales; Trentepohliaceae.